UUUCCGAAAUAUUUAAUGUUUGGAAGCAUACAGUAACAGUAAUAAUACUGCUAACGGGUGUGACAGGGGAGCGUUGCCAGUUUCCUAUAAAUAUCUGCCGUCUUCUGUAGGAACCUGAGAAGCAGCAGUCCUCCCAGUUUACACAGCUGAGCGGCAUGUGGCCCCGGCCUUCUUCCUUUACUUCUUCUCCCUUCCCAGACAGCUCCCUCUCCUCCUGCACCUUGCCCUCCAUCCGCUGGGCUCCUCGGUUUCCUUGGCCUGUGUUUCGGCGGGACUGUGCGGUUUUGUGGGCUGGGGUGCGAGCGGCGGAGGAGCCACUGUGAGACGGAGCUCUGAGAUGACCCGGUGUCACCGUGGCCGAAAGAAAACCACUCUCUUCAUCCAUUCUCUUGUCUCUUCUUUCAACCCUCUGUUCCUGUGUCCACUAAUUUCCUUCCCUCUCGCAGCACAUCUGUCGUCAUAAUCAGGACCAGCCAUCCUCAGGAAGGGUGUAAACUCACACACAGAAGCAGAAAGUUAAAAAAAAUCGUCAGACUCCGAAGAAACUGGAUACAAAGUGAAAAUGAUCAGAGCCUAAAGAAAUGGAUCCGACUACAUUAGCACACCACACUGUUUUAAGUGCUGUAUUGCAGUGAGUAUCAAACAUUUAGCAGGUGUGUGUUUCUCUGCAUGUGAAAUGAGGGUGUGGCACAGAGUGUGUGUGUAUGAAUAUGUCAGGGUUUGUCUUUGAAUAACGAAUAAUAAGAAAAUUAAAUGAAAACACAUAUUUUAACUAGAAUUGAAUGAUAUUACAGAAAUACAUGCUCAGUUUCAUUAUUUAAUUUCCUGAUCUAAUUUUAGAAGUUUACUUGAGAUGAUAUUUACCAUAAGUAAUUCCACUUACAUAACAUGCCCUGGUCCUGUUUUAGAAGUUAAAGUACAUGUUCCUGUCGCUGGCGGACUCUCAGAGUUAUAAAUAUGACGAAACAUUCCAGAAACACUAAAGAGAGGUGCAGUAAAAAAUGAAAAUAAAAUUAAAAAAAAAAAAAAAUCAAGACUUGUGUCUCCAAUGGUCUUUGUUUCCCCCUGUUGGCUGUCAACUGUAGCUCAGGCCUGGUUGUCCUGGUAGAGCGUAGUAACGUAACUAACAGUCAAAUAACAAACAAAGUAAAUUACCCUCUGUGUUCUUGACCUUCAGUUUCUGCACAUGCUGUUACAGAAUGCCUUUCUAAAAUUGUAGGGAAGUGUCAAAAUAAGGCCAUCAGGCUAAUGUCUUAAGGAAAAUAAAGAAGAGGCCCCAGGAAGGCGCCGUUGAAAGGGAAUCCUCCAGAAAGACAGAACACUGAGAGGUGGGCCUGAGCUCCUGUCUUUGCUGCAGGCUGCUCUCAGCUGAGGCCGCAGGUCUUCUGUGUCAUAUUCUAGGGUUGCCUGGCACCUAAAUAACAGUACAGGGUUGCGGUGAGCCGGAGCCUAACCCGGCAACGCA
Scleropages formosus (Asian bonytongue) is the source of this 1465-nucleotide long non-coding RNA. RefSeq lists it as uncharacterized. NCBI's taxonomy places the organism in Eukaryota, Metazoa, Chordata, Actinopteri, Osteoglossiformes, Osteoglossidae. The transcript is spliced from 3 exons. The record is from RefSeq and is a predicted model, not a curated record.